GACGAACGCUGGCGGCGUGCCUAAUACAUGCAAGUCGAGCGAAGUUUUUCUGGUGCUUGCACUAGAAAAACUUAGCGGCGAACGGGUGAGUAACACGUAAAGAACCUGCCUCAUAGACUGGGACAACUAUUGGAAACGAUAGCUAAUACCGGAUAACAGCAUUAACUGCAUGGUUGAUGUUUAAAAGUUGGUUUUGCUAACACUAUGAGAUGGCUUUGCGGUGCAUUAGCUAGUUGGUGGGGUAAAGGCCUACCAAGGCGACGAUGCAUAGCCGACCUGAGAGGGUGAUCGGCCACACUGGGACUGAGACACGGCCCAGACUCCUACGGGAGGCAGCAGUAGGGAAUCUUCCGCAAUGGGCGAAAGCCUGACGGAGCAACGCCGCGUGAGUGAAGAAGGAUUUCGGUUCGUAAAGCUCUGUUGUUAGGGAAGAAUGAUUGUGUAGUAACUAUACACAGUAGAGACGGUACCUAACCAGAAAGCCACGGCUAACUACGUGCCAGCAGCCGCGGUAAUACGUAGGUGGCAAGCGUUGUCCGGAAUUAUUGGGCGUAAAGCGCGCGCAGGUGGUUUAAUAAGUCUGAUGUGAAAGCCCACGGCUCAACCGUGGAGGGUCAUUGGAAACUGUUAAACUUGAGUGCAGGAGAGAAAAGUGGAAUUCCUAGUGUAGCGGUGAAAUGCGUAGAGAUUAGGAGGAACACCAGUGGCGAAGGCGGCUUUUUGGCCUGUAACUGACACUGNGGCGCGAAAGCGUGGGGAGCAAACAGG
RNAcentral lists this ribosomal RNA (768 nucleotides) under uncultured bacterium. Its description in RNAcentral is "bacterial SSU rRNA". It matches the Rfam family "Bacterial small subunit ribosomal RNA", at positions 28 to 776 of the family's 1533-position model. The record is from RNAcentral.